This 207-nucleotide ribosomal RNA is filed under the name uncultured bacterium. RNAcentral's name for it is "partial 16S ribosomal RNA". It matches the Rfam family "Bacterial small subunit ribosomal RNA", at positions 568 to 774 of the family's 1533-position model. The record is from RNAcentral.
CUCGUAGGCGGUUCGUCGCGUCCGGUGUGAAAGUCCAUCGCUUAACGGUGGAUCCGCGCCGGGUACGGGCGGGCUUGAGUGCGGUAGGGGAGACUGGAAUUCCCGGUGUAACGGUGGAAUGUGUAGAUAUCGGGAAGAACACCAAUGGCGAAGGCAGGUCUCUGGGCCGUUACUGACGCUGAGGAGCGAAAGCGUGGAGAGCGAACA